This 290-nucleotide long non-coding RNA is filed under the name Cricetulus griseus (Chinese hamster). RNAcentral describes it as "lncRNA (ENSCGRG00015039227.1)". The record is from RNAcentral. Lineage: Eukaryota; Metazoa; Chordata; Mammalia; Rodentia; Cricetidae.
UGUGUGUGUGUGUCCCAUUCUAUGAUUUUCUCACUGAACCUGCAGUCAGGCUGGCAUCCAGCAAGCCUGAUUCAUCCUUCUGUCUCCACCUUCUACUCUCCACCACAGAGCUGUUCAUACAGCAAGAAAGCAUUUGGACACUCGACUUUUUAUAUGAGGGCAGAUGUCUGAACUAAGUUCCUCUUACGUGCAUAGCAAGGACUCCUAACCAAUGAGUCACCUCUCCAGCCAGGAAGCAAGAUCCCAAAUCUAGUUUUUGUGUGCUGAGGAUCACUGUCUGCUUAUCUUUG